AACGAACGCUGGCGGCAUGCCUAACACAUGCAAGUCGAACGAGACCUUCGGGUCUAGUGGCGCACGGGUGCGUAACGCGUGGGAACCUGCCCUUAGGUUCGGAAUAACUACCCGAAAGGGGUGCUAAUACCGGAUAAUGUCUUCGGACCAAAGAUUUAUCGCCUUUGGAUGGGCCCGCGUUGGAUUAGCUAGUUGGUAGGGUAAAAGCCUACCAAGGCGACGAUCCAUAGCUGGUCAGAGAGGAUGAUCAGCCACACUGGGACUGAGACACGGCCGAGACUCCUACGGGAGGCAGCAGUGGGGAAUAUUGGACAAUGGGCGAAAGCCUGAUCCAGCAAUGCCGCGUGAGUGAUGAAGGCCUUAGGGUUGUAAAGCUCUUUUACCCGGGAUGAUAAUGACAGUACCGGGAGAAUAAGCUCCGGCUAACUCCGUG
RNAcentral lists this ribosomal RNA (433 nucleotides) under uncultured bacterium. RNAcentral's name for it is "partial 16S ribosomal RNA". It matches the Rfam family "Bacterial small subunit ribosomal RNA", at positions 29 to 507 of the family's 1533-position model. The record is from RNAcentral.